AUGAAGAUGGAAAUCACAAUAAAUUUUAAGGAGGAAUUAGAUUACAAAAGCUUAUCAAGAAGGCUAGACAAGAAAGUAGAUAAACUCAUUAUGGACCAUGAAAGACAACAAAAGGUAUUUGAGGAUGAAAUGGAAAGGUUAUCAACAAAAGAACAUCAUCGGAUAUCUGAGACUCAUAAACUAUGUAGACUCAUUGGAGGACCAUAUACCAAGAAUUUGAAAGAUGAGUGA
Vicia faba (fava bean) is the source of this 231-nucleotide non-coding RNA. The record is from the annotation of a GenBank genome assembly. Lineage: Eukaryota; Viridiplantae; Streptophyta; Magnoliopsida; Fabales; Fabaceae.